RNAcentral lists this ribosomal RNA (253 nucleotides) under uncultured bacterium. RNAcentral's name for it is "partial 16S ribosomal RNA". It matches the Rfam family "Bacterial small subunit ribosomal RNA", at positions 524 to 776 of the family's 1533-position model. The record is from RNAcentral.
UACAGAGGGUGCAAGCGUUGUUCGGAAUCAUUGGGCGUAAAGGGCGUGUAGGCGGUAUGUUAAGUCAUGUGUGAAAUCCCCCGGCUCAACCGGGGAAGUGGCACCGAUACGACCGGCCUGGAGGGGGGUAGGGGGCGCUGGAACUCACGGUGGAGCGGUGAAAUGCGUUGAGAUCGUGAGGAACGCCCGCGGCGAAAGCGAGCGCCUGGACCCUUUCUGACGCUGAGACGCGAAAGCCAGGGGAGCGAACGGG